This 2440-nucleotide long non-coding RNA is filed under the name Rattus norvegicus (Norway rat). Its description in RNAcentral is "long non-coding RNA NONRATT006912". Lineage: Eukaryota; Metazoa; Chordata; Mammalia; Rodentia; Muridae. The record is from RNAcentral.
UUAUUUUACACGUUUGGAGUGCAUAUUUUAAAGGUCUAAGGUGAGAACAUAGUUAUAAUAUUUUCUUUUAGAUUAUUUACUAACAAAUUGUUGGUUUUUGUCCAAGAUCUACUUUUCAUUAGGAUUCACCAAAUUCUUGCUCUUCCAUAAUCUUACUCUGAAGUAGAGAAGUCUGUGUGCCUUAGAUUUAGGGGAAGUGUUCUUUAAUAAGAGUGCGUAGGGCUAACGAUACUUCAGUUCUAUGUAGAUUUCCCUUUGUCAAAACUAUAGAGUUGAGAGUGCAAUUGCAAAUCCUAUCUGUAGGGAAACAGCUUGAGUGUCCUCUCCAUCCCUGAGCCUUGCUGCCCACUGCACCCUGAGCAUCCUGAGCUUGGGACACUCGGUGAAUCUUAGUUUAGUGACCUCUAAUGGAAGAAACAAAGCGAGUCUGAAGUCCUUUGGAAGUGAAGUGUCUCCUCCUCCCCGAUACCACAGAACACUUACUUUUUAGCCCUGGUCUUGUCUUUAAUGGACUGAUUAUCUUUGGUCUACUGGUGUGUUGUUCUUCCCGGUGGGCUUCUCCUUGCAAAGCUUCCCAUGAGUGAAAGGGAUGCUGCAGUAUGCACAUUUUGAAGUGCUCUCUGACUUAGUUGUGUUUGGUUCAUAUACAAGCCACUCUUUUCUCCUGUUUCUUGAGGUGACAGAUAGGAAAGCAUGUGCUGCUCUCUAGUGUCCUCUUUGUUGUCAUGUCUCAUGGAUUUCAUUGGGUAUGGUAGGCAGUAUUCUUUAUUCUCAUGCAAGAGGUAAGAUGGUUUUGGGCAUUCCCAGCUGUGGCUGGUAGGUGCCUCUCUCUCAUACAGAGACGAAGCUGCUUUCCAUGGAGCUCUCACUAGACAGAUGUAAGGGACAGACAGGGUCAGCUAUCUGACUGUUGAUGGAAUGCAUUUGAUUUCCCUAUGGCCCUCAGGAUUUACCUCCAUGGUUAUCAUUAUCUGCAAAAAGGCACCCAGAGUCCACAGGUGUAGAUGAUGUGCACUCUUUCACCAAGCUUGGGUUUUAUUCACAGAGAUGUUCUCAUUUGGGGACUAAGUGUUAACUGGUUAUUGAUUGUCUAUUCAAACACUCCUUUCUGAACCUUUGGUCCAGUUGUGUAGAAGCAUGUUUGAUUUCGUCAGAUUAGAGUCUGUCGGAGAGCACAAGUGGACCUGGUGACCUUGAGAGUGUUGACAGCGGCUUUCAGCUUGUGAAGUCAAGAUGUGGGCCUGUGAGGAAGUUAUGUGUGGGGUUUUGCUCCCCCCCUUUUUUUUUCUUUUUGGUUAUGGUGCUAUUUCUAACAUUAACUUUGAAUAUGUGACACACUCCUGUACCAUUAAGGAUGAUUAACAAUAGUUAUAAUGUUUACAUUGAGCACUAGGUGUUUGAAAUGCGCAGGGAUUUAAUGCACAGAUGUACUUUAAUGUUAGGAUCAGUCUUUUUGAGAAAGCUGUAAGGUGAAUAUGAACUGGUCCAGAAAUAAGUGCUCUAGCUUCUGUUGCACUUGAAGUAGUUAGUGGUGUGUAUGUAAAAGGAGCCUUUUCCUACUCUAGUUUUGUAUGUCCAAAGUCCUGUGAUUUUAUUCAUUCAUAACUUUUAAAAGAAGUUUGAAGUAUUCAGGUUUGUUUUUUUUUUUACUUCCGUUGAAAGAUUACUAUUACCAAGCAUAUUAAGAAAAAAAGAUUUAAAAGGAUUUCCCCCCUAUAUCUUAUUUUAAAAGGUGUACUCACAAUGUGUAGUAAUUUAUGAAUAAAAAGAAAAUGUAUCUCGUUUCCAGGUAAUUCCUAGGGUGGUCAUUGUUGUUAUUUUUAAAGUGGAAAACCUCUGAUCAAAUAAUGUCUGAAGUUAGUGUGAUCUUGGAAAUUGUGACACAGGUCUCUUCUGUAAUGGAGUUUGCACCUAGAGAAGUUGGUUUUGAAUAAGACAUGUUUUUAAAAAGCACUUCAAGACCUAGAACAACAAUGUAUCAGGUUUAUAAAUAGAUCCAUUCAUCACUACCAGAGGGUUACAUUGCAGAGAGGUCCAUAUGGUAGAUACCGCCAGCUACACUGUCCACAGUCUGAUGUCACUAAGCCUUUGUCCUCUUAUAUGGCUUUUAGGGGAAGGAUGGGCUCACACCACAGUCCCAGUUUCUGUGGUGGUCUUUUUCUUAAGUCACUGUACUGUAUGAUACGAAAAUUGACCUGGAUUUUACUUUCGCGCCACUGCAAUUUCAAUGUGAUUGUGUCACCUGGAAAAAGACAUCUGAGGUUUGUAAUGGAGUAGAAUGCAGAACAUUAAAGAUGCACGAGGUGCUGUUUUCCUCUCCCUUCAGUGUCCUGAUUCUGCCAGGAACAACCCACAGGCUCGAGGAGGGCUUGGCCUUGUCCUCCUUCAGUGAUUGAAGUGACCAGCUCCAUUCUUUGAUCAUUAAACCAGCAUAUUGCAG